GAGAGUUCUGUUCCCUUCACAUCCGUUUGUGAGAUUCCAGCCCAGAGACUCUCACAUGCCACAGAGCAACAGCUCACGUCUCCAGCUUCAGGAAGAGGAAGCUACUUGAUUCAUCAGACUGAUGAGAUCAUCAGGAUACUGGGAUCCCAACCAGGACCAGUGGGCUUACACUGUUCAAGAACAGGCCAAUGAGCACUGGACACAACUAAGAAAAGAUGCCAAGUAUUACAUGGAUAUGGGACACCUGAUGUUCGACCACUCUAUGGCUACUUAAGUCGCCCAUAGAUAACCGUAACGAGACCCCAAACACGUCCUAUUCAGAACACGCCUUACGAAUUCACAUAAUGUGUAACUCUGCUGUUGGCAUGCGUUUUUAAAUAGUCAGAUUGCAUUUAUGUCUUCCAGGGAAAACAACAGGCUCUUCUUUAUGGAGAUGCUGGGUAAUGCUUGUAUUUACCUUGACAGGUGGACAGUGACCGAUGGUCAGUAGAUGUGUUGUGGAGAUGCUGAGCAGGCACAGUGUUAUGGACAGUAGCAUCACCUCCGUGACGGUGGAUGAAUACAAUCACUGCGCUAAAUGUGCUUUCUCUACAGUGUUGUCCUUGACGUAAGAGUGUAUAGCUUGCAGAAUGCAUUUACUGUAUGUAGCCUAUUAUCCUGUUUAUUCUGUCAAAAUAAACAGUUAAAGGAAA
Long non-coding RNA from Oncorhynchus kisutch (coho salmon), 692 nucleotides. RefSeq lists it as uncharacterized. NCBI's taxonomy places the organism in Eukaryota, Metazoa, Chordata, Actinopteri, Salmoniformes, Salmonidae. The transcript is spliced from 3 exons. The record is from RefSeq and is a predicted model, not a curated record.